GACGUAGGGUGCAAGCGUUGUCCGGAAUUAUUGGGCGUAAAGCGUUCGUAGGCGGUCUAUUAAGUCUGGUGUUAAAUCCCGGAGCUCAACUCCGGCAUGGCAUUGGAAACUGGUAGGCUAGAGUGUGGUAGAGGCAAGGGGAAUUCCCGGUGUAGCGGUGAAAUGUGUAGAUAUCGGGAGGAACACCAGUGGCGAAAGCGCCUUGCUGGGCCAUUACUGACGCUAAGUGUAACGAAAGCCAGGGGAGCGAAAGGG
This 255-nucleotide ribosomal RNA is filed under the name uncultured bacterium. RNAcentral's name for it is "partial 16S ribosomal RNA". It matches the Rfam family "Bacterial small subunit ribosomal RNA", at positions 524 to 776 of the family's 1533-position model. The record is from RNAcentral.